RNAcentral lists this ribosomal RNA (385 nucleotides) under uncultured bacterium. RNAcentral describes it as "bacterial SSU rRNA". It matches the Rfam family "Bacterial small subunit ribosomal RNA", at positions 29 to 441 of the family's 1533-position model. The record is from RNAcentral.
AACGAACGCUGGCGGCAUGCCUAAUACAUGCAAGUCGAACGAGAUCUUCGGAUCUAGUGGCGCACGGGUGCGUAACGCGUGGGAAUCUACCCUUGGGUUCGGAAUAACAGUUAGAAAUGACUGCUAAUACCGGAUGAUGACGUAAGUCCAAAGAUUUAUCGCCCAGGGAUGAGCCCGCGUAGGAUUAGCUAGUUGGUGAGGUAAAGGCUCACCAAGGCUACGAUCCUUAGCUGGUCUGAGAGGAUGAUCAGCCACACUGGGACUGAGACACGGCCCAGACUCCUACGGGAGGCAGCAGUAGGGAAUAUUGGACAAUGGGCGAAAGCCUGAUCCAGCAAUGCCGCGUGAGCGAUGAAGGCCUUAGGGUUGUAAAGCUCUUUUACCC